This 1198-nucleotide unclassified non-coding RNA is filed under the name Leishmania donovani. RNAcentral's name for it is "gene:LdHU3.09.0100(CDS-product:endonuclease_III_p utative)". The record is from RNAcentral. Lineage: Eukaryota; Euglenozoa; Kinetoplastea; Trypanosomatida; Trypanosomatidae.
GGAAUACGCUAGCCUAUAGAAGACGUGGCGAAUCUAGCCGCUAAGAAUUAAGGGCUUGCCGUGUGUCGCGUCGUGCCUGUGGCCUCGCCGGGAAUCGCUUGACAGCGGCACAGCACUGCAUACAUCACGACAAGUGAGAUUUGGAUGACGCUUAACUGUCUACAUGUGCCUGACUGUCGACUCCAUGACCUCUUCUUCUGUGUACGUACGCGCACUCUGAAGGAAAGACGGACGGGCGGGACUGUGGGCCAUGAAUAAAUGCUCCUUUACCCCACCAUCGAAUUGGGCGCAGCUUUUCGCGCGCCUGGAGGAUUAUCGAAAACACUUAAAGGCCCCAGUGGACACGAUGGGGUGCCACCGCCUCCGCGACGAGUAUGCGCCAAAGGAGGUUCAGCGUUUCCACACGUUAGUGGCGCUCAUGCUCAGUGCACAGACAAAGGACGUCGUGACCGCGGCUGCGAUGGAUACGCUGAUCAAGCACGGACUGACUGCGCAGUCGGUUCAUGCAAUGACGGAGACAGAACUGGAUAAGCAUAUCUGCAAAGUUGGGUUUCACAACAAGAAGGCGAAGAACAUCAAGGAAGUCGCCGCGAUUCUCAUGAAAAACUACGAUGGAGAGGUACCGCGAGAGUACGCAGAGUUGAUUGCACUGCCUGGCGUCGGCCCGAAAAUGGCGAACCUGUUUUUCCAAGACGCCGAUCACCGCGUUAUCGGCAUUGGCGUCGAUACACAUGUUCACCGCAUCUCGCAGCGUUACCGGUGGGUACCAAGCACCGUGAAGACGCCGGAGGACACGCGCAAGGCGCUGGAGUCGUGGUUGCCUCGGGAACACUGGGGAACCAUUAAUUCUCUCAUGGUGGGUCUCGGCCAAACAGUAUGCACCCCACUCCGCCCGAAGUGUGGCAUCUGUGAACUUAGCGACAUUUGCCCGAACGCGUUCAAGGAGACACAGCAGAAGCGCCUCCGUGCAAAAGCGCCCCUCGUGGAGAAAGAGGAGCCUGUGUCAAACAAGAAGCGGAGAAAAUGAACGUAGUGUACUGCUCUCCACUGUCACCAGUGAGCGUGCCACUCGAGCUUGCCUCCACCUUGUCGCCACCGAAGGUGUGCUCGCUCGUACAAUGCUUCUUUGUUGUUGUUUGCAUGCGCUUGUUGUCGUCGUAGUACGUGUUGGACGGCACCAUUCCGUUGAGGAAGUAAG